Molecule: non-coding RNA, 438 nt
Organism: Microtus ochrogaster (prairie vole)
Lineage: Eukaryota; Metazoa; Chordata; Mammalia; Rodentia; Cricetidae
Source: the annotation of a RefSeq genome assembly
AUGAAGAGGCAGCUGUGCUUUCUGCUGGGGCUGCUGUACACCCAGAUUUGCUGGGUGAAAGGGCAACAAGUGAAGCAGAGUCCUGUGUCCUUGGUUCUGCAGGAGGGAGAGAGCACAGAGCUGCAGUGCAACUUUUCCACCUCUGCAUCCCAAAUGCAGUGGUUUUACCAAAGUCCUGGGGGACACCUCAUCAGCCUGUUCUUCAAUCCUUCUGGAACAAAGCAGAGUGGAAGACUGAAGUCCACGACAGUCACUCAGGAACGCUGCAGCUCUUUGUCCAUUUCCUCCUCUCAGAGCACAGACUCAGGCACUUAUUUCUGUGCUGUGGAUCCACAGUGCUCCCCACACACCUGCAGCCAGUACACAAACCUUCAGCUGGGUGGGUGUGACCUUUCCCAGACACAGACACCCAGAAAUCACAACAGAACAUCUCUCUAG